RNAcentral lists this ribosomal RNA (421 nucleotides) under uncultured bacterium. Its description in RNAcentral is "bacterial SSU rRNA". It matches the Rfam family "Bacterial small subunit ribosomal RNA", at positions 791 to 1214 of the family's 1533-position model. The record is from RNAcentral.
UAGUCCACGCCGUAAACGAUCAUCACUCGCUGUUGGCGAUACACUGUCAGCGGCCAAGCGAAAGCAUUAAGUGAUGCACCUGGGGAGUACGAUCGCAAGAUUGAAACUCAAAGAAAUUGACGGGGGCCCGCACAAGCGGUGGAACAUGUGGUUUAAUUCGAUGAUACGCGAGGAACCUUACCUGGGCUUAAAUGUAGAGUGCAUAAAUGGGAAACCAUUUUUCCCUUCGGGGCUCUUUACAAGGUGCUGCAUGGUUGUCGUCAGCUCGUGCCGUGAGGUGUCGGGUUAAGUCCCAUAACGAGCGCAACCCUUAUCACUAGUUGCCAUCGGGUCAUGCCGGGGACUCUAGUGAAACUGCCACCGUAAGGUGAGAGGAAGGUGGGGAUGACGUCAAAUCAGCACGGGCCCUUAUGUCCAGGGG